RNAcentral lists this ribosomal RNA (434 nucleotides) under uncultured Clostridium sp. RNAcentral describes it as "partial 16S ribosomal RNA". It matches the Rfam family "Bacterial small subunit ribosomal RNA", at positions 341 to 792 of the family's 1533-position model. The record is from RNAcentral. Lineage: Bacteria; Bacillati; Bacillota; Clostridia; Eubacteriales; Clostridiaceae.
ACGGAAGGCAGCAGUGGGGAAUAUUGCACAAUGGGCGAAAGCCUGAUGCAGCGACGCCGCGUGAGUGAAGAAGUAUUUCGGUAUGUAAAGCUCUAUCAGCAGGGAAGAAAAUGACGGUACCUGACUAAGAAGCCCCGGCUAACUACGUGCCAGCAGCCGCGGUAAUACGUAGGGGGCAAGCGUUAUCCGGAUUUACUGGGUGUAAAGGGAGCGUAGACGGCAAUGCAAGUCUGAAGUGAAAGCCCGUGGCUUAACUGCGGGACUGCUUUGGAAACUGCAUGGCUAGAGUGUCGGAGAGGUGAGUGGAAUUCCCAGUGUAGCGGUGAAAUGCGUAGAUAUUGGGAGGAACACCGGAGGCGAAGGCGGCUCACUGGACGAUUACUGACGUUGAGGCUCGAAAGCGUGGGGAGCAAACAGGAUUAGAUACCCUGGUA